RNAcentral lists this long non-coding RNA (1329 nucleotides) under Ornithorhynchus anatinus (platypus). RNAcentral describes it as "lncRNA (ENSOANG00000039888.1)". The record is from RNAcentral. Lineage: Eukaryota; Metazoa; Chordata; Mammalia; Monotremata; Ornithorhynchidae.
CUCCCUCCUUUGCUCCGGGGGCUAUUUCGAGAGCCUCCUCCCUCCCUCCCUCCCUCCCUCCCUCCCUUCCUCCCGCCCGCCCGCCCCUCCCCCCAGGACCGGACGGGACCCGCCACACCAACUACUUGGGCCUGGGGGCUCCCCCCGGGGACACCCACACACACACACAAUCUCUCCUUGUCUCUCUCGCACACACACACACACGCUCCCUCUCCUACACAAACACACAUAGGCUCUGCCACACACAUACAAUCUCUCGGUGUCUCUCUCUCUCACACACAAUCUCGAUUACACACAGUCUCUGUUACCCCCACACACUCUGUCGCACACACCCCCCCAGUUUCUCUCUGUCACGCACACAAUCUCUCGGGGUCACACACACACACCGUCUCUCCCUGUCACACACACAAUCUCUCGGUGUCACACAAACGCACCGUCUCUCUCUCUCUCACACACACAGUCUCCUACACACACACACACACACAAACACAGUCUCUCUACCACACACGCACAAUCUGUGUCACACACACACACCCUCAUAUACACACACACAAACACACAGUCUCUCUCUCUGUGUCACACACACAGAGUCACACAUCCACAGUCUCUCUCACACCCUCCCAAACACACACGCACACGGUCUCUGUGUGUCACACACACAAUCUCUCUCUCUCUCUCACACACACACAGUCCCUCUGUUCCUCCCGGACCCGCACCCCCUCCCUCCCUCUCCCACACACAGUCGCACGAACACAGUCCCGCACAGGCAGUCUCUCUCUCUCUCUGUGUCACACACAGACACAUCCCUCCAUCCCUGGGAAGAUGUCAGUCCUGGGAGGGGGGAGGCGAAGUUAGCCGCUCCCCAGCGGGGCUGCAGAAGGCCGCCGGACCCGAACCCGGGACCAGGUUAGCCCUGCUUACUCUCGUCUCCUUGGCCAGGAUCUCCCCAGCUCAACAAGCCCCGCUGAGAUCCCACCUCAAGCUGCUAAAGCCAGUUCUCCAAGCCAUCUACAAUGAGCUCCACAGCACAGUCAGACCUAGAAUUCUGACUCGCUGUUGUUCCAAUUGGAGUCCUAAUCAUGUUUUGAAUAUAUCUUCCAACUUGGAAAAUUUGGUAAGCUUUGCACUUUUGCAUGAGACAGUUUAAACCCAAAACAGCUGGCAUGUGAAUGACUAUGCAUAAUGUAUGAAAAACCCACUGACCAAGUAUGUCUGAUCCAAUGCAUCUAGCGAAUUGAUCAGUGCAUGACUUAUCAAAGAGAUGUACAGUCAAUCUAAGUGACCCACAGUCUAGAAGUUGACACCGAGAAUGAAUUCUCCUGAAACUCA